RNAcentral lists this ribosomal RNA (511 nucleotides) under bacterium enrichment culture clone ALO1_GLFRUDD03G3VPZ. RNAcentral describes it as "bacterial SSU rRNA". It matches the Rfam family "Bacterial small subunit ribosomal RNA", at positions 9 to 515 of the family's 1533-position model. The record is from RNAcentral.
GAGUUUGAUCUUGGCUCAGAUUGAACGCUGGCGGCAGGCCUAACACAUGCAAGUCGAGCGGAUGACGGGAGCUUGCUCCUUGAUUCAGCGGCGGACGGGUGAGUAAUGCCUAGGAAUCUGCCUGGUAGUGGGGGACAACGUUUCGAAAGGAACGCUAAUGCCGCAUACGUCCUACGGGAGAAAGCAGGGGACCUUCGGGCCUUGCGCUAUCAGAUGAGCCUAGGUCGGAUUAGCUAGUUGGUGGGGUAAUGGCUCACCAAGGCGACGAUCCGUAACUGGUCUGAGAGGAUGAUCAGUCACACUAGAACUGAGACACGGUCCAGACUCCUACGGGAGGCAGCAGUGGGGAAUAUUGGACAAUGGGCGAAAGCCUGAUCCAGCCAUGCCGCGUGUGUGAAGAAGGGUCUUCGGAUUGUAAAGCACUUUAAGUUGGGAGAAGGGCAGUAAGUUAAUACCUUGCUGUUUUGACGUUACCGACAGAAUAAGCACCGGCUAACUCUGUGCCAGCACG